AGUUUGAUCCUGGCUCAGGAUGAACGCUAGCUACAGGCUUAACACAUGCAAGUCGAGGGGCAGCAUGGUCUUAGCUUGCUAAGGCCGAUGGCGACCGGCGCACGGGUGAGUAACGCGUAUCCAACCUGCCUUACACUCUUGGACAGCCUUCUGAAAGGGAGAUUAAUACAAGAUGUUAUCAUGAGUAAGCAUUUUCGCAUGAUUAAAGGUUUACCGGUGUAAGAUGGGGAUGCGUUCCAUUAGAUAGUAGGCGGGGUAACGGCCCACCUAGUCUUCGAUGGAUAGGGGUUCUGAGAGGAAGGUCCCCCACAUUGGAACUGAGACACGGUCCAAACUCCUACGGGAGGCAGCAGUGAGGAAUAUUGGUCAAUGGACGAGAGUCUGAACCAGCCAAGUAGCGUGAAGGAUGAAGGUUCUAUGGAUUGUAAACUUCUUUUAUACGGGAAUAAACGGAUCCACGUGUGGAUUUUUGCAUGUACCGUAUGAAUAAGGAUCGGCUAACUCCGUGCCAGCAGCCGCGGUAAUACGGAGGAUCCGAGCGUUAUCCGGAUUUAUUGGGUUUAAAGGGAGCGUAGAUGGGUUGUUAAGUCAGUUGUGAAAGUUUGCGGCUCAACCGUAAAAUUGCAAUUGAUACUGGCAGUCUUGAGUACAGUUGAGGUAGGCGGAAUUCGUGGUGUAGCGGUGAAAUGCUUAGAUAUCACGAAGAACUCCGAUUGCGAAGGCAGCUUACUAACCUGUAACUGACAUUGAUGCUCGAAAGUGUGGGUAUCAAACAGGAUUAGACACCCUGGUAGUCCACACGGUAAACGAUGAAUACUCGCUGUAGGCGAUAUACAGUCUGCGGCCAAGCGAAAGCAUUAAGUAUUCCACCUGGGGAGUACGCCGGCAACGGUGAAACUCAAAGGAAUUGACGGGGGCCCGCACAAGCGGAGGAACAUGUGGUUUAACUCGAUGAUACGCGAGGAACCUUACCCGGGCUUAAAUUGCAACCGAAUAUGGCGGAAACGCUAUAGCUAGCAAUAGCGGUUGUGAAGGUGCUGCAUGGUUGUCGUCAGCUCGUGCCGUGAGGUGUCGGCUUAAGUGCCAUAACGAGCGCAACCCUUGCCGAUAGUUACUAACAGGUCAUGCUGAGGACUCUGUCGGGACUGCCAUCGUAAGAUGUGAGGAAGGUGG
RNAcentral lists this ribosomal RNA (1173 nucleotides) under uncultured Bacteroides sp. RNAcentral describes it as "bacterial SSU rRNA". It matches the Rfam family "Bacterial small subunit ribosomal RNA", at positions 10 to 1176 of the family's 1533-position model. Lineage: Bacteria; Pseudomonadati; Bacteroidota; Bacteroidia; Bacteroidales; Bacteroidaceae. The record is from RNAcentral.